RNAcentral lists this small RNA (127 nucleotides) under Marmota monax (woodchuck). Lineage: Eukaryota; Metazoa; Chordata; Mammalia; Rodentia; Sciuridae. The record is from RNAcentral.
GCUGGGUGAGGUGGCACACGCCUGUGAUCUCAGCAGCCUGGGAGGCUGAGGCAGGAGGAUCAGGAGUUCAAAGCCAGCCUCAGCAACUUAGCGAGGACCUAAGCAACUUUGGGAGACCCUGUCUCUA